UUUGUCCCACAUCGCUUGUGUGA
This 23-nucleotide small RNA is filed under the name Arabidopsis thaliana (thale cress). RNAcentral's name for it is "ATSL076310". Lineage: Eukaryota; Viridiplantae; Streptophyta; Magnoliopsida; Brassicales; Brassicaceae. The record is from RNAcentral.